UUGGACUGAAAAGAUCUAUCUGCAAAGGAAUUAAUAAAGAUAAUUUUGGAUUUAGUUGUACUUGUCGAUGAAGCUUGUAACGUGCCAUGGCAAUUACAUGAACAUUAAUCUACUGACAUCGUAAUAAAUGGCGGUUUCAUCUUUGUGCAAACGGUUUGCUGGUUCGGGCAGAGUUGGUGUCUUGGUCAUGGUGUCGAAUAUAUUUUUCCUGUUGGCUUUUUUGAUGGACUUGUCAUUGUCGAGGUGGAAAUUGCAGGCGUGUUUGCAGCCGGGGAACUGAAAUGGAGGAAGAAAGUUGCGCACGAUGUCAUUUUUGGCGCGUGUCAAGUGGCUCCGCCGGCGACUUGAUGGCAAACUAAGUCUGCGCGGUUGUCAACUCGUUCAUUCAUGUGAUAGGAAGCAAAGCAAGAGGACCUCCAGGACCAAAAAA
Long non-coding RNA from Ctenocephalides felis (cat flea), 430 nucleotides. RefSeq lists it as uncharacterized. The transcript is spliced from 3 exons. The record is from RefSeq and is a predicted model, not a curated record. NCBI's taxonomy places the organism in Eukaryota, Metazoa, Arthropoda, Insecta, Siphonaptera, Pulicidae.